UACAGAGGUCUCAAGCGUUGUUCGGAUUCAUUGGGCGUAAAGGGUGCGUAGGCGGUGUCGUAAGUCGGAUGUGAAAUCCCGGGGCUUAACUUCGGAACUGCAUUCGAUACUGCGAUACUCGAGGACUCGAGAGGAGAUUGGAAUUCACGGUGUAGCAGUGAAAUGCGUAGAUAUCGUGAGGAAGACCAGUGGCAAAGGCGGAUCUCUGGAGAGUUCCUGACGCUGAGGCACGAAGGCCAGGGGAGCAAACGGG
RNAcentral lists this ribosomal RNA (253 nucleotides) under uncultured bacterium. RNAcentral describes it as "partial 16S ribosomal RNA". It matches the Rfam family "Bacterial small subunit ribosomal RNA", at positions 524 to 776 of the family's 1533-position model. The record is from RNAcentral.